CCCCUUGGCGAUGAUGAGCUAGUCGCCAACAUCCUGACGGGCCUCAACAUGGAGUACAAUCCUCUUGUGUCAAUAUUGCUUGCGUGGGUGCAGCCCGUCUCCUUCAGCGAGCUUAAGGCUAAACUUCUGAUCUUUAAGA
Molecule: small nucleolar RNA, 139 nt
Filed under: Setaria italica (foxtail millet)
Lineage: Eukaryota; Viridiplantae; Streptophyta; Magnoliopsida; Poales; Poaceae
Also listed under: 1 other name
Description: Small nucleolar RNA Z247
Rfam family: Small nucleolar RNA Z247
About the family: Z247 is a member of the C/D class of snoRNA which contain the C (UGAUGA) and D (CUGA) box motifs.
Source: Rfam by way of RNAcentral